GGCAAGGUGGUCGAGUGGUUUAAGACGUAAGACUUGAAAUCUUAUACCUUCGGGUGCGCGUGUUCGAAUCACGUCCUUGUCG
Non-coding RNA from Aspergillus tubingensis, 82 nucleotides. NCBI's taxonomy places the organism in Eukaryota, Fungi, Ascomycota, Eurotiomycetes, Eurotiales, Aspergillaceae. The record is from the annotation of a RefSeq genome assembly.